CGUUCACCCCAGAAUCAGUCACUUCAGAUCCAAUGGAAACUCCAGCACCUUCCAUUGACGUCUUCUCUGAUGACAUGGUUCCCAAUGACAGUAUGGAACAGGUAUUAGACAGCAUUCUGAAGAAUCUUGAGGACUA
This is a long non-coding RNA of Thalassophryne amazonica, 136 nucleotides long. RefSeq lists it as uncharacterized. NCBI's taxonomy places the organism in Eukaryota, Metazoa, Chordata, Actinopteri, Batrachoidiformes, Batrachoididae. The record is from RefSeq and is a predicted model, not a curated record. The transcript has 2 exons.